AUAGAAAUCCACUAGGGGGUGAGUUUGCAAAGCUCAUUAGGGCGUCUCGUUCUUCUAUAUA
Molecule: transfer RNA, 61 nt
Filed under: Laevipilina antarctica
Lineage: Eukaryota; Metazoa; Mollusca; Monoplacophora; Tryblidiida; Neopilinidae
Description: tRNA-Cys
Source: RNAcentral